Molecule: ribosomal RNA, 432 nt
Filed under: uncultured bacterium
Lineage: Bacteria
Description: bacterial SSU rRNA
Rfam family: Bacterial small subunit ribosomal RNA
Source: RNAcentral
GGUGAUGAUAAGCGGCGGACUGGUGAGUAACGCGUGGGUGAUCUACCUUGAGGAUGGGGAUAGCUGUUAGAAAUAGCAGGUAAUACCGAAUACGAUAGCUUUGCUAUGGCAGAGUUAUGAAAGAUGCUUUGGCAUCGCCUUAAGAUGAGCCCGCGUCCCAUUAGCUAGUUGGCGGUGUAAAGGACCACCAAGGCGAAGAUGGGUAGCCGGCCUGAGAGGGUGAACGGCCACAUUGGGACUGAGAUACGGCCCAAACUCCUACGGGAGGCAGCAGCUAAGAAUAUUCCGCAAUGGACGAAAGUCUGACGGAGCGACGCCGCGUGGAUGAGGAAGGCCGAAAGUGUUGUAAAAUCCUUUUAUCGCUGAAGAAUAAGUGGGGUAGGGAAUGACCUCAUGAUGACGCUAGGCGAUGAAUAAGCCCCGGCUAAUUAC